RNAcentral lists this long non-coding RNA (740 nucleotides) under Setaria viridis. RNAcentral describes it as "long non-coding RNA (SVIR_LNC000233)". Lineage: Eukaryota; Viridiplantae; Streptophyta; Magnoliopsida; Poales; Poaceae. The record is from RNAcentral.
CUAUGGCUCCAUGGGGAGAGGAAGAGGUGUGCUAUCAGACUGGGUUUUUUGGUCGUUGCAGGAAUGAAGAAAUAGCUUACUCGACAAGGGAAGAGAGUGGGGUAAUACCGUAGAAAUAUAAACACAGAUGAGGUCGUCCCUCCGUUUCCCCACAAAGAAAUGUAAAAUCAUAAAGCGGUCCUCCAAUCUCUCCAUGAGUGCCACGUCAUCGUGCUAUUUCCAAUAAAUUAAUUUCAUUUCAUGGUUUACAAUAUCCAUCAAUGGCCCUUUCGUAUUUCCAAUACAUUAAUUUCAUUUCGUGAUAAUAUUUAUAUUAUGAAACUAACUGGUCCACACAAUGCAAAGUUUCAUUAGUUUUUAUUUCCAAGGCAUACAAGCCAUAGCAUUUAAAGAAGCGAUAAAUGUGCCCAUGAGUAGCUAAAUAUCAUCAUUAUAUAUGAAAUUCCGGUCUGGUAAAUAGUAGUUAAACAAGAUGAUCCGGUGUACACGAACAGACAGAUAUAGUUGUCACUCAGGAAGGUCCUUUCUGCAAAAAAAAAAAUACACCGAUUCGCUAACCGCUUCCACUCCCUUAUCAUUUGUCUUUCUUGGUACUGCAACCUCUACCUCGUCCAUAACUUCCCCCUUCUCUAUUUAUUACGAGUCCUCUAUUGUUCUCCCUCUACAUUCUUUUUUGACUGUCCAGCCAAUCUCUCCUCAAUCAUGGUUCCUUCCUUGGCAAAUCUUAUGCCAGAUCUUGU